Molecule: ribosomal RNA, 440 nt
Filed under: uncultured bacterium
Lineage: Bacteria
Description: partial 16S ribosomal RNA
Rfam family: Bacterial small subunit ribosomal RNA
Source: RNAcentral
CCUACGGGUGGCUGCAGUGGGGAAUCUUGCACAAUGGGGGAAACCCUGAUGCAGCGACGCCGCGUGAGCGAUGAAGCCCUUCGGGGUGUAAAGCUCUUUCGGCAGGGAAGACUUUGACGGUACCUGCAGAAGCAGCUGCGGCUAACUACGUGCCAGCAGCCGCGGUAAUACGUAGGCAGCAAGCGUUGUUCGGAGUUACUGGGCGUAAAGGGUGCGUAGGCGGUUCCCUAAGUUUGGUGUGAAAUCUCCCGGCUCAACUGGGAGGGUGCGCCGAAAACUGGGGAGCUAGAGUGUGGGAGAGGUGAGUGGAAUUCCUGGUGUAGCGGUGAAAUGCGUAGAUAUCAGGAGGAACACCGGUGGUGUAGACGGCUCACUGGACCAUUACUGACGCUGAGGCACGAAAGCGUGGGGAGCAAACAGGAUUAGAUACCCCAGUAGUC